AUAAAAACUUUGAAAAGAAGAGUAGCUAAUAAAUUAUAUGCACAGAGAAUCUUUGUAGGCUGAAAAAAGAUCUUAUAAUCUUAGUGAAUAAAGACUUAGAGUUGUACCGAGGAUAUUUUGAUUCGGUAUCGUAUUUUGCACGUUAUAGCAAAGGGGUAUAAUUUUGUACUUUCUUAUUGGAUCCUUUGAAAGUAUAUUUUGUACUUAAUAAGGAUAUUUUUGUGAAAAAAUAUUAAAUUUGGGUGGUAACACGGUCUUCGUCCCUUGG
RNAcentral lists this non-coding RNA (268 nucleotides) under Anaerococcus vaginalis. RNAcentral describes it as "T-box sequence". It matches the Rfam family "T-box leader". From Rfam's summary of the family: Uncharged tRNA acts as the effector for transcription antitermination of genes in the T-box leader family. T-boxes are found upstream of many aminoacyl-tRNA synthetase genes and some amino acid biosynthetic genes usually in Gram-positive bacteria. The record is from RNAcentral. Lineage: Bacteria; Bacillati; Bacillota; Tissierellia; Tissierellales; Peptoniphilaceae.